UAAUACGUAGGGGGCGAGCGUUGUCCGGAUUUAUUGGGCGUAAAGAGCGUGUAGGCGGCUUGGUAGGUCUGCUGUGAAAACUCGGGGCUCAACCCCGAGACGUCGGUGGAAACCACCUGGCUAGAGUCCGGAAGAGGAGAGUGGAAUUCCUGGUGUAGCGGUGAAAUGCGCAGAUAUCAGGAAGAAUAUCCGUGGCGAAGGCGGCUCUCUGGGACGGUACUGACGCUGAGACGCGAAAGCGUGGGGAGCGAACAGGAUUAGAUACCCUGGUAGUCCACGCCGUAAACGAUGGGUGCUAGGUGUGGGUGGUGUCGACUCCAUCCGUGCCGAAGCUAACGCAUUAAGCACCCCGCCUGGGGAGUACGGCCGCAAGGCUA
Molecule: ribosomal RNA, 377 nt
Filed under: uncultured bacterium
Lineage: Bacteria
Description: bacterial SSU rRNA
Rfam family: Bacterial small subunit ribosomal RNA
Source: RNAcentral